GAUGAACGCUGGCGGCGUGCCUAAUACAUGCAAGUCGAGCGAACAGACGAGGAGCUUGCUCCUCUGACGUUAGCGGCGGACGGGUGAGUAACACGUGGAUAACCUACCUAUAAGACUGGGAUAACUUCGGGAAACCGGAGCUAAUACCGGAUAAUAUAUUGAACCGCAUGGUUCAAUAGUGAAAGACGGUUUUGCUGUCACUUAUAGAUGGAUCCGCGCCGCAUUAGCUAGUUGGUAAGGUAACGGCUUACCAAGGCAACGAUGCGUAGCCGACCUGAGAGGAUGAUCGGCCACACUGGAACUGAGACACGGUCCAGACUCCUACGGGAGGCAGCAGUAGGGAAUCUUCCGCAAUGGGCGAAAGCCUGACGGAGCCACGCCGCGUGAGUGAUGAAGGUCUUCGGAUCGUAAAACUCUGUUAUUAGGGAAGAACAAAUGUGUAAGUAACUAUGCACGUCUUGACGGUACCUAAUCAGAAAGCCACGGCUAACUACGUG
Molecule: ribosomal RNA, 497 nt
Filed under: uncultured bacterium
Lineage: Bacteria
Description: partial 16S ribosomal RNA
Rfam family: Bacterial small subunit ribosomal RNA
Source: RNAcentral